GUCUGCCUCAGCCUCCCAAAGUGCUGGGAUUACAGGGCACAGGGACUAGAAUUCAAGAAAGACAACUUUGGAUCUCUCAUCAGUGUAUCCAUACUCCCAAGAACAGGCUUUGACCCUUAUUUAAAAGAUUGGUACCUGAGUAUACAUUUAUCUGUUUUAAGCUCAAAAUGCUUAACAGGAUAUAUGUUUAAUUUUUUGUCCCACCUUAAUUUAUGAAUUAGUGAUGUACUAGCUAUGGUUGGACCAGAUAGAACAAGAUUUUCAUAUUAUAGAAAGGAGGUACAAUUAUUUGUAGAUAUGACGGUCUUGGAAAACUCGUAAAGUAAAUGGGGAAAACAAUAGAAAUAUAAGUACCUUUCAGCUUCUGUCCAUUUACUAUACAUUUGUGUAGUAUGUGUUUGCAGUCGUGCCUGCUUUCUAUUAAUACAUGUUUAUGCCAUUGUUCACAAUAGUAGGGUAUGAUGGCUGGUCACCAGUGAAUAGCAGAGGCAGGUUUCCUUCUAAUAUUUACUUUUGUUAGAAUGAACCACUAAUUUAAUUGCUAUAGGAUGACAAUACCUCUGCCAAACCAAGAUGAAGUUUGGCAGAGGGGCCAAUUAUGUAUAAAUACAUAAAAACCAGCAGUUUUGAUUAAUAACCUGUUACAUAAUUUUAAAAGGUAACACUAUUCACAGAGACAUAAAUUACCAAGAAAUGUUUAGGACCUCUAUAAAGAAAACUUAAUGAAAAUAUUAAGAAAGGGAAAAUAAAGACUAGAAUACAUGGA
This is a long non-coding RNA of Sapajus apella (tufted capuchin), 766 nucleotides long. RefSeq lists it as uncharacterized. The record is from RefSeq and is a predicted model, not a curated record. The transcript is spliced from 2 exons. Lineage: Eukaryota; Metazoa; Chordata; Mammalia; Primates; Cebidae.